Long non-coding RNA from Gasterosteus aculeatus aculeatus (three-spined stickleback), 2971 nucleotides. The record is from Ensembl. NCBI's taxonomy places the organism in Eukaryota, Metazoa, Chordata, Actinopteri, Perciformes, Gasterosteidae.
CAAAUUAUGAUAAGAGAGAGUCAGCCGUGCUGAAACUAGUUGUUUUGAGUCCAUCAGAGGCGAUGCUGUUUGUGUGUGGAGCGGCGACCGAGGGGAGGGCAUCAUCAACAUUAGCUGACAGCAUGGGAAGAAGCCUGCGGUGGAUAGAUGCGGCUCACCUCCUGUUAGCAGACUGCUAGUCUGUUCCUGGAGGCAAUGAAAAGCAGCAUCUCCUCUAAUUCAUCACCAUCCGAAGGGAGAGAGAAGAACGAGAGACGUUCAAGAGUCAUCAGAGUGGAUGUCUGCACCUUUGCUGCUAAUCACUGCUGACGAACGCACGCUGCUGUUCUACAAAGAUAAUGAGUCUGCCAGAGUCAAAGGGAGCAACAAACACCCGAGCAGAGCCCAGAAGGAGGAGAUGAAACGUGACAUAUCAACAAAAUACAGAUACUCAAGUGCAACUACGGACUGACAACGACUGUUAGAGAUUUGACCCAAACGGAGCUGAGAGACACAGCGGGGAAGACGAAGUCAGAGACAUUACAGAGGCCCGUGUCAACCACCGGGGGACGCGAGGUGUGAAAGAGAGAAACAAAGUGAUAAAAAGGGGAAACGGAGUGAAGAGCUGAAGCAGGCAGGAAGGAUGAGGACUAAACACACUUUGAUGAGAGCUACUUGGAUGAAAAUCCUCCUUACUGGUGAUCCACCCGCCAAGAACUUUACCUCAUGAAGUAUACCUUCCACACCCCUGUAAACACACACACACACACACACACACACACACACACACACACACACACACACACAGACCAGCGAUUUAUAGACAGGUGAAAUGCACCUGUGCGUUUUAGCCUCAUCCACUCUGGACUCAAAAUGUCACACAGACACAUAAACACACUCACAGCAUGGCGGACACAAAUACACACACAGGUGCUGCCGGGUGGACCAUGGGGAAGAGAUGAGACCGCUCUCGCUCCACUGACUGGAAAACCUGAUCUUCUUACCUCAGCAAGUUCAGAUGGAGGGACUCAGUGGAGAGACAUCUGUGUGUGUGUGUGUGUGUGUGUGUGUGUGUGUGUGUGUGUGUGUGUGUGUGUGUGUGUGUGUGUGUGUGUGUGUGUGUGUGUGUGUGUGUGCGUGUGCUUUUGUAUGUCGUGAGAAGGAGAGCCAGAGCAAGAGCCUCAUCAGCAGAGCACAAGAUUGAGGAGCAAGUGAGAAAAAGAACGACGCUGGGUCCUUAGCUGUUGUCAUGGCAACACAUUAACAGGUCGUAGGGUAAACAGGUGACUUUUAGUUAGUCAAUCGCCCCAAAAAUGUGCAGAAUCCACACAUGUGAAAUCUGAUGCGCCGAUGUCCCCAACCUGUGGCCCGUCGGGGGUCAAACGGACCUACACAACGGCGUGCCGUUCAAUUGGCUCGUCGCUGAACGAGGAGAGGCUUCUCAUCAACCAUUGCUGUUUGUGUGCAUGACCACCCACCAUCAUCAUUAGCAUCUGACAGAGGGAGAGCAACGGCCGUGUGGAUUAUCACAGUGGCACACGCUAUUACCAUAACAGUUACGAUAGAUACGCCUUCAUUGAAUGGAUAAUCAGCAAGGUAUUAUGUGCUGGGAUAAUAGCACCGUGUGAAAACUAGGGAUGCACUCCCGGCUAACGCGCCCGCACAACUGUACCAAUUAUUGUGAGCAGGGUUCACGGCGCAUUUCGUUAAAGCAGUGUGCCGCCGCAGAUCUGAUAACAACAGCACAUCUAGUGAUGAUUAUUAGGACCAUUGCCGCGAUGAUGAGAGUGUUAUUCCCAGGGCUGAGCUUACCUUUGUCUGUGUGUGUGUGUGUGUGUGUGUGUGUGUGUGUGUGUGUGUGUGUGUGUGUGUGUGUGUGUGUGUGUGUGUGUGUGUGUGUGUGUGUGUGUGUGUGUGUGUGUGUGUGUGUCACUGUGUCAGGGAGAGAGAGAGAGAAAGUGAGCAAAUGGUUGAAACACAAAGUGGUUUUAUUCAGUGAAAAUGGUUUUAUGAAAGAGACAUCAUCUGUCGCAUUUCACACAAAAGCAUGAUCGCUCAAAUGAUACAUUUUGUUCUGUUGCUUGAAUUAUUCAUUUAGAGGAACUAGUGACUACUUUCACUUCUUCUUUCAUUCUACAAAUCUGUGUUUCACCAAUGACACACCUGUGUCUGUGGGACGACUUGUAACAAUAAGCAGUCAUCAUUACACUAAUUAUCUCAUCCCUGUCCCUCUCACUGGAUUCACCUCCUAGGAAGCAAAUGCAAAGGAAUUCAAUACAAGUGCAUAUUCAUUUAAAGUCUUAUCACCUUCAGUAAAAAAGUGAUUAGGAUGUAAAGUCAAAGACACUGUUUUAGGAUUAAAGCAGACAUUAUCCUGCUCCGGCGUUUCCCCAUCGCAAUUUGAGAGGGCAGCGUGUUUGUUGCCUUUUGUCCCCCCGUCGCUGUUGGCAUGUACCCAUUAUUAAGCUGCUCAGGCCUCUCACCAACAAGGGGCCGCCAUCCCUCCUCCCCACCGUCCUCCCACCCGGCUCCUCAGAUAAUCAGGAUAUUACCAAUGAAAAGUCAAAGCCAUAAAUCAGAAAUACCCCCCCGAGCACCUUCCUUCCCACUUCCCCAUAUCUCUCCUCUUCCUUCUUUGUCAAAAAACGGGACUAUAGUUGAGAAAACCACACAGGCAGAGAGCGAGACAGAGAGAUUGAAAGAUGAGAUAUGGACAGAUGAGAGGGAGGUGGGUGGGACUGAGUAAUCCGGGAUUUCCACCAGAUGACGUCAGCAGUUGGCCAGUGUCAUCCAUCAAACUCACAUUUGUGUCAAAAACAUGUCUCUGUACGUGUGUGUGUGUGUGUGUGUGUGUGUGUGUGUGUGUGUGUGUGUGUGUGUGUGUGUGUGUGUGUGUGUGUGUGUGUGUGUGUGUUGCAAUUCUACAUGACUCAGAUGCAGCUGGUCUGCUCUGUGAUCUGGACUGGAGGCAAACAAGGGUGGAGAAAAAAAU